RNAcentral lists this unclassified non-coding RNA (234 nucleotides) under Hevea brasiliensis (rubber tree). Lineage: Eukaryota; Viridiplantae; Streptophyta; Magnoliopsida; Malpighiales; Euphorbiaceae. The record is from RNAcentral.
GGCUAUCAAAACUAAACCAGAAAUAUGGAGGUUGGUUCAAAAAUAUAAAUUGUCUGGUAUCCUAAUUCCAUUCCCAAACAUUGGGCCUGGCUUGCUAUUAGAGAUAGGCUUUCUGAAAUGAGGGGCAAUGAAAUGGGAAUAUUCUGCAGAUUGCCUUCACUUUGUGGUUUAGUUACUUGUGAAAGCAGAGAUUGGGGCAAUGUUUUAUGAACGUUGCAUUGCUAUAAGAUUGGG